This 1059-nucleotide long non-coding RNA is filed under the name Nothobranchius furzeri (turquoise killifish). RNAcentral's name for it is "lncRNA (ENSNFUG00015002560.1)". Lineage: Eukaryota; Metazoa; Chordata; Actinopteri; Cyprinodontiformes; Nothobranchiidae. The record is from RNAcentral.
AUGUUUCCAGACACCUCACGUCAGUUCGUAUUGAAGGUGGAUGCAUCCGAUUCCAGUUGUGGUGCAGUCCUGUCCCAGCUCUCACCCAAAGGUCACUGGCUCCAUACCUGUGCCUUUUACUCCUGUAGCCUGUCUCCCGCACAGAGGAAUUAUGAUGUCGGGGAUCUGGAACUCCUGGCAGUUAAACUGGUGCUGGAAGAACGGAGACACUGGUUGGAGGGAGCUGAGCAACCCAUCCUCAUUUGGACGGACCACAAAAAUCUCUCCUACCACACAGAAGCCAGGAGACUCAACCAGUCACGCUGGUCAUUGUUCUUUUCACGUUUUAACUUUCAGAUUUCCUAUAGACCAGGGUCGAAGAACACCAAACCGGAUGCCCUGUCCCGCCAGCCUUCCUCUGACCAUAAUGCCAAGCAUACUACAAUCGUUCCACCCUCCUGUGUGGUGGGCGCCCUCUGCUGGGAAAUUCACAACAAGGUUGUGGAAGCCCUCAAAACAGAACCUGACUCUGGCCAUGGUCCACCCAACAAGCUGUAUGUCCCUACCAGCGUAAGAGGUGCGCUCCUCCACUGGGCCCAUACUGCCAGGUUUUCGGUCCAUCCAUGUGUCAGUCGCAAGCUCGCCCUUAUCAAGCGCUCCUUCUGGUGGCCAUCCAUGUAUAGAGAUGUAAAGGAGUAUGUGGCGGCAUGUCAUGUCUGUGCCCGAAACAAGAGCAGCACCCAGGCUCUCCAGGGUCUGCUCCAACCCCUGCCAGUCCCCUCUAGACCCUGGUCUCACAUUGCAGUGGAUUUUGUCACAGGGCUCCCACCUUCUAAGGGUUUCAAUGUCAUCAUGACUAUUGUAGAUCAGGUUUCUAAGUCUUGUUAUUUCGUUCCUCUGAGGUCUCUGCCUUCCUCCUCUGUCACAGCUUCCCUCCUCAUUAAACAUGUUUCUAGACUUCAUGGAUUCCCUACAGAGAUCCUUUCAGACCGCGGCCCCCAGUUUGUCUCCCGUGUGUGGAAGGAGUUUGCCACCUGUCUGGUUACCAUCCCCAGUCUACUGGGCAAUGUGAGAGGCUAA